AAAGAGCCAAAGAUAGAAAAUAUCCAAAGAGAAGGAAGAGAUCUCAAACUGGACAGCAAAAGAGUUAGAGGUAGAAAAAUAUCCAAAGAAAAAAAAAUACUUAAAAUUGGGUGAUAAAAGAGCUGGAAGCAGAAAAACAUCCAUAGAAAAGAAAAAUAUCUCAAACUGAGCAGCAAAAGAGCCUAGAGGCAAAAAAUAUUCAAAAAGAAGAAACAAGGAACUAGAGGCAGAAAGACACUCAAAAAGAAGAAAAGACCUAAAAUUAGGUGAUGAAGGAACCAUAGACCAGAAAAAGAAAAUCUAAACAAAAUGAAAAUGCCUUAAAUUGCACGA
Molecule: long non-coding RNA, 333 nt
Filed under: Elaeis guineensis (African oil palm)
Lineage: Eukaryota; Viridiplantae; Streptophyta; Magnoliopsida; Arecales; Arecaceae
Description: long non-coding RNA (EGUI_LNC023014)
Source: RNAcentral